GGCUCUGUCGUUCAAUGGACAGGACACGCGCCUUCUAAGCGCAGAAUGAGGGUUCGAUUCCCUCUGGGGCCUCCA
Molecule: transfer RNA, 75 nt
Filed under: uncultured archaeon
Lineage: Archaea
Description: tRNA-Arg(tct)
Rfam family: tRNA
About the family: Transfer RNA (tRNA) molecules are approximately 80 nucleotides in length. Their secondary structure includes four short double-helical elements and three loops (D, anti-codon, and T loops).
Source: RNAcentral